GGAACGGCUGGCGGCGUGGAUUAGGCAUGCAAGUCGGACGGUAGGGCUUUAUCGUAAGAUAGAGUUUGAGAGUGGCGAACGGGUGAGUAACACGUAGGAAUCUACCCUUAAGACGGGGACAACCCAGGGAAACUUGGGCUAAUACCGGAUGAGAGUGCGAGAGAUUGCAUUUAAAAGGAUGGCGAAAGUUGUCGCUUAGGGAUGAGCCUGCGGUCUAUUAGUUAGUUGGUGAGGUAAGAGCUCACCAAGGCGAUGAUAGAUAGGCGGCCUUAACGGGUGGUCGCCCACACUGGGAUUGAGAUACGGCCCAGACUCCUACGGGAGGCAGCAGCUAAGAAUAUUCCGCAAUGGACGAAAGUCUGACGGAGCGACGCCGCGUGGAUGAAGAAGGCCGAAAGGUUGUAAAGUUCUUUUGCUAGGGGAGAAUAAGUGAGGGAGGGAAUGCCCUCAUGAUGACAAGGACUAGCGAAUAAGCCCCGGCCAACUACGUG
RNAcentral lists this ribosomal RNA (491 nucleotides) under uncultured bacterium. RNAcentral describes it as "bacterial SSU rRNA". It matches the Rfam family "Bacterial small subunit ribosomal RNA", at positions 35 to 507 of the family's 1533-position model. The record is from RNAcentral.